GGGUGAUCGCAUCGUACAGGUGCGACAGGAUGCGCGAUGGUCGGGCCGCCACG
Molecule: non-coding RNA, 53 nt
Filed under: Massilia sp. Leaf139
Lineage: Bacteria; Pseudomonadati; Pseudomonadota; Betaproteobacteria; Burkholderiales; Oxalobacteraceae
Also listed under: 1 other name
Description: nhaA-I RNA
Rfam family: nhaA-I RNA
About the family: Acidobacteria, Alphaproteobacteria, Betaproteobacteria and Gammaproteobacteria, Verrucomicrobia, cand. division NC10.
Source: Rfam by way of RNAcentral